UUCUUCUCUUUUGGGCUCCUUUAUGUUCCUGAUCAUUCACGGUAGGUUGCUGAUGGCUAGUGUCCAUUUUUUAUUGUCCUGUAUCCCUGAAACAUCCCUGCAGUAUGCUUGGAUACCCUUUGAUUUCUCCUUUGCCAAGAACCCUCUCCAGGCCAGGUCCUAAAGCAGGAAGAGGACUCAUGCACUUUCACAGCCAUAGCAGGAAGAAAACUAUAUAUAGAUAAAUACACACCACACACAUGAAGGUUAUAUUUGCUUUGGACCAGACCCUCCUGCAGCAGAAGAGCCUGUGAGCAGGCAGCCUAGGACAGGCCUUUUGCUGUGGACCAUCAAGUGGAGCCAAGUGACUUGUCAGAUCUCAGAUGACCUAUAUCAUGAACCAUCUCAUUAUACUCUAUAACUGUGGCGACCUCAGCUCUGUCAUCUUCAGCCAUAGCAGCUCCCAGUUACAGGGUGAAGCUUCAGAAGGUUCGGCAGCAGGCCCCAUGAAUCAGCUGUCAGGGAGAGGAAGGGAUCCAAAUCCAUUGGCCUCUUGAUCGACUUGACACUUUUGAGAAAUGAUGGAGCAAAACUUGUGAUCCUCCUGUCUGAGUGUCUGGAGGAGCUGGGAUUACAGGUAUGCACACUGAACCUAGAAUGCUUGUGGAAUUCUUAUGGGGCACUUCCAGUG
Molecule: long non-coding RNA, 670 nt
Filed under: Marmota marmota marmota (Alpine marmot)
Lineage: Eukaryota; Metazoa; Chordata; Mammalia; Rodentia; Sciuridae
Description: lncRNA (ENSMMMG00000006046.1)
Source: RNAcentral